This 460-nucleotide ribosomal RNA is filed under the name uncultured bacterium. Its description in RNAcentral is "partial 16S ribosomal RNA". It matches the Rfam family "Bacterial small subunit ribosomal RNA", at positions 338 to 795 of the family's 1533-position model. The record is from RNAcentral.
CCUACGGGUGGCAGCAGUGAGGAAUAUUGGGCAAUGGGCUUACGCCUGAACCAGCCAAGUCGCGUGAGGGAAGACUGCCCUAUGGGUUGUAAACCUCUUUGUUCAGGGAGCAAGUGGCUCUACGUGGAGCGUUAUCGAGAUUACCUUAAGAAAACGCAUCGGCUAACUCCGUGCCAGCAGCCCCGGUAAUACGGAGGAUGCGAGCGGUAUCCGGAUUUAUUGGGUUUAACGGGUGCGUAGGCGGAAUGCCAAGUCAGCGGUAAAAGCGCGGGGCUCAACCUUGCUACGCCGUUGAAACUGGCGUUCUUGAGUGGGCGAGGAGUAUGCGGAAUGCGUGGUGUAGCGGUGAAAUGCAUAGAUAUCACGAAGAACUCCGAUUGCGAAGGCAGCAUACCGGCGCCCAACUGACGCUGAAGCACGAAAGCGUGGGUAUCGAACAGGAUUAGAUACCCCUGUAGUC